CUUGCCUUUCUUAGUAUAGCUAACGCGCUCAGAAAGAAACAAUCAAUUUUAGAGUGAAAUCGGUGUACUACAAAUGGCGCCCGUAAAUAAAAGCAAAGAACGAAAUGCUAUUUUGUCCCAUCCGGUAUGGUCCUGGCAUAAGACGUUUCCUUAUGCUGUAAGAUGCUAUCCUCUGGAUCCUUUCGACUUCGGAAAUUUUAGCGAGCAAGCUAAGAUGAUUACCAAGAACCUAAAAGUUCAAAGAAUCCUUUCCAAAAAAUAUCGGCAUUCAAGGACUUUGAUCAAACGUCUGAUACGCGAGGUCCGAAAAAUCAAGAAAAUUCUCAAAAUUUCAAAUUUCGAUAGCAAGCCUCGGAAUAAUCCCAGACAUUGAAUCGAAACCUCUUAAAAAGUUGGGAUGCUCCAAAGUAAACCAAAAAAAUGAAAAACUGUUUACUCCGCUUUAUACACAUGUAAAACAAAAACUUUGCUGAUAAAAUAAAUUUAAAAAUGUUCUGCGGAAA
Long non-coding RNA from Drosophila eugracilis, 503 nucleotides. RefSeq lists it as uncharacterized. The transcript is spliced from 2 exons. The record is from RefSeq and is a predicted model, not a curated record. NCBI's taxonomy places the organism in Eukaryota, Metazoa, Arthropoda, Insecta, Diptera, Drosophilidae.